GUGAACGCUGGCGGUAGGCCUAACACAUGCAAGUCGAACGGCAGCACAGUAAGAGCUUGCUCUUACGGGUGGCGAGUGGCGGACGGGUGAGGAAUACAUCGGAAUCUACUUUUUCGUGGGGGAUAACGUAGGGAAACUUACGCUAAUACCGCAUACGACCUACGGGUGAAAGCAGGGGAUCUUCGGACCUUGCGCGAUUGAAUGAGCCGAUGUCGGAUUAGCUAGUUGGCGGGGUAAAGGCCCACCAAGGCGACGAUCCGUAGCUGGUCUGAGAGGAUGAUCAGCCACACUGGAACUGAGACACGGUCCAGACUCCUACGGGAGGCAGCAGUGGGGAAUAUUGGACAAUGGGCGCAAGCCUGAUCCAGCCAUACCGCGUGGGUGAAGAAGGCCUUCGGGUUGUAAAGCCCUUUUGUUGGGGAAAGAAAAGCAGCAGGUUAAUACCCCGCUGUUCUGACGGUACCCAAAGAAUAAGCACCGGCUAACUUCGUG
RNAcentral lists this ribosomal RNA (492 nucleotides) under uncultured bacterium. RNAcentral's name for it is "partial 16S ribosomal RNA". It matches the Rfam family "Bacterial small subunit ribosomal RNA", at positions 29 to 507 of the family's 1533-position model. The record is from RNAcentral.